ACUGUUCCGGCUGCUGGCACGCAGACGCGGUCUCCGGGGUGCGCACUUCCCACCGCCGGUAGGACGCCGCGACGGACGCGGGUCAAAGGGAACAAGCACGACUUUGAGUCCGGCAGUGGAGGUGACCUGCCCGUCUCUUCGGAGACGGCACGCGGGAGUUAUACCACGCCGUGCACGAAAAGUUCGUCACCCCGUCCAGGCCCCAUGGGCUUCUCCCGGUUGUCGGGAGGCCCGAACGAUGACGCCCUCCGGAAACGGAGCGGAGAACCCGCUGGGCAAGCUUGUCGUCUCCUGCUGUCCGGGUUGGUCCCGCGGCGGCGGGUUGGCCGGCGAGAAGCCUCUGCGAGCGGGGCUAUUCUCCCGCGGAGGCGCUAUCGUGGUUUGCGGCGAGUAGGUCGGAAAGUAAACCCAGCCGCGACCCGUUUGAAAACACGGAAGCCAAUGGAGUCUAACAUGUGGCGGCGAAGGCAAUGGGUGCUGCGCCGAAACGCCUAAUGGCGCAAUGAAACGUGAAGGGCCGCUAGCGGGUUUUUUUUGGCGUUGCGUUGCGAUCCCGGCCGCACAGGGGUCCGAUAAAGGGCGCAGCAACGGCCCGUCCCAGGCGCUCACACGUCGCCGGGGCGGAGCGAGAGCGCACACGUUGGCACCCGAAAGAUGGUGAACUAUGCCCGGGCAGGACGAGGCCAGAGGAAACUGCUGGUGGAGGUCCGAGAAGCGAUUCUGACGUGCAAAUCGAUCGUCCGAUCCGGGUAGAGGGGCGAAAGACCAAUCGAACCAUCUAGUAGGCUGGUUUUCCAGUCGCGAAGUUUCGCCUGCAGGAUACCUGGGGCGCUGCGAUUGGGAGAGGCAGUCACACGCCUGGUAAAGCGAAUGAUUAGAGGCAUUGGGGUCGAAACGUCCUCAACCUAUUCUCAAACUUUCAAUGGGUGUACGGGAGGCCUUCUGGGUUGAGGCCUCCCGCGCUGCGAUGAGAGUGGGCGCAAAGUGGGCGCCACUUUUGGUAAGCAGAACUGGCGCUGUGGGAUGAACCAAACGCCGGGGUAAGGCGCCCGAGUCGGGACGCUCAUGAGAACCCAUGAAGGGUGUUGGUUGCUUAAGACAGCAGGACGGUGGCCAUGGAAGUCGGAAUCCGCUAAGGAGUGUGUAACAACUCACCUGCCGAAGCAACUAGCCCCGAAAAUGGAUGGCGCUCUAGCGUCGCGCCUAUCCCCGGCCGUCGCUGGCAGAAAAGCACGAAAUGUGGGGGUGCUAAGCCGCGACGAGUAGGAGGGCCGCAGCGGUGUGCGUUGAAGGUGUCGGGCGUGAGCCCGCCUGGAGCCGCCGCUGGUGCAGAUCUUGGUGGUAGUAGCAAAUACUCAAGUGAGAACCUUGAGGACUGAAGUGGAGAAGGGUUCCAUGUGAACAGCAGUUGAACAUGGGUCAGUCGGUCCUUAGGGAAAGGAGAAAUCCUUUCAGAAGCGGGCGCGUUUGUGCAGCUCAGUCUGUGAUACGGAGACGCCCCGCUGCAACCAAAAGGGAAUCGGGUUAACAGUCCCGAACCCGGCUACGGAGAUCGGCGCUUCUUCGGAGCCCAGUGCGGCAACGCAAACCAGCUCGGAGACGCCGAUGGGAGCCCCGGGAAGAGUUUUCUUUUCUCUGUAAGGAGAUCGAGUCCCUGGAAUGGGUUCACCCCGAGAUAGGGACGGUGGCUCCGUAGAGCAGUGCGGCUCUUGCGCUGUCCGGUGCGCUCCUGUCGGCCCUUGAAAAUCCGAGUGAGGGAGUGUGAUUUUCGUGCCGGACCGUACCCACAUCCGCAGCAGGUCUCCAAGGUGAACAGCCUCUAGUCGAUAGACCAAUGUAGGUAAGGGAAGUCGGCAAAACGGAUCCGUAACCUUGGGAAAAGGAUUGGCUCUGAGGGCUGAGCCGGUCGGGCUGGGGUCCAGAAGCAGGAACGGCACUGCACCGGGACUGGGCGAGGCUCGCCGCCGUAAAAAGCGGUGCGGCCGAGCCCGGACCAGCGUCGGGACCUUCCUGUGGAAAGCCACAGCUGUGCAUUUUCCGUGGGCUUCGCGCCUGAGGUUCUUGCUUCGGCCGGCAGAAAACAGCCAACUCAGAACUGGCACGGACCCCGGGGGAAUCCGACUGUCUAAUUAAAACAAAGCAUUGCGAGGGCCGUUGAUCGGUGCUGACGCAAUGUGAUUUCUGCCCAGUGCUCUGAAUGUCAAAGUGAAGAAAUUCAAAAAAGCGCGGGUAAACGGCGGGAGUAACUAUGACUCUCUUGUGGUAGCCAAAUGCCUCGUCAUCUAAUUAGUGACGCGCAUGAAUGGAUUAACGAGAUUCCCACUGUCCCUAUCUAUAUAUGUCUGUGUUCACUAAAUAAUAUGUUCUUUUGUAUUUAGUGAAACUAGACAUAUAUAGCUUUAUAUUAUUAUUCUAAUUUCAAACAUAUACAUAAUGUAAGAGCCUGGGCAGUGGUGAGGAAGCCGUUAACAGGAUGACAGGAAAAUGAAAGUCAUUUAAGCGCGCCAGCUACUUGGCCUUCGUAUAAGGGUUCUUUUUCCGCAAACAGGGAGGGCUUUCGGCCCUGACCGCCCCAGUGCGGAAGCCAAGACCUGAGCAACAGGGGGGCACAUUGGGGACACUUUUGAUACUCUAAAUUCAAGUUAGAGAAAGUUCUGU
Molecule: ribosomal RNA, 2658 nt
Filed under: Rhipicephalus microplus (southern cattle tick)
Lineage: Eukaryota; Metazoa; Arthropoda; Arachnida; Ixodida; Ixodidae
Description: eukaryotic LSU rRNA
Rfam family: Eukaryotic large subunit ribosomal RNA (bases 368-2658)
Source: RNAcentral